AAAUUGAAGAGUUUGAUCAUGGCUCAGAUUGAACGCUGGCGGCAGGCCUAACACAUGCAAGUCGAACGGUAACAGGAAGCAGCUUGCUGCUUUGCUGACGAGUGGCGGACGGGUGAGUAAUGUCUGGGAAACUGCCUGAUGGAGGGGGAUAACUACUGGAAACGGUGGCUAAUACCGCAUAAUGUCGCAAGACCAAAGAGGGGGACCUUCGGGCCUCUUGCCAUCAGAUGUGCCCAGAUGGGAUUAGCUUGUUGGUGAGGUAACGGCUCACCAAGGCGACGAUCCCUAGCUGGUCUGAGAGGAUGACCAGCCACACUGGAACUGAGACACGGUCCAGACUCCUACGGGAGGCAGCAGUGGGGAAUAUUGCACAAUGGGCGCAAGCCUGAUGCAGCCAUGCCGCGUGUAUGAAGAAGGCCUUCGGGUUGUAAAGUACUUUCAGCGGGGAGGAAGGUGUUGUGGUUAAUAACCGCAGCAAUUGACGUUACCCGCAGAAGAAGCACCGGCUAACUCCGUGCCAGCAGCCGCGGUAAUACGGAGGGUGCAAGCGUUAAUCGGAAUUACUGGGCGUAAAGCGCACGCAGGCGGUCUGUCAAGUCGGAUGUGAAAUCCCCGGGCUCAACCUGGGAACUGCAUUCGAAACUGGCAGGCUUGAGUCUUGUAGAGGGGGGUAGAAUUCCAGGUGUAGCGGUGAAAUGCGUAGAGAUCUGGAGGAAUACCGGUGGCGAAGGCGGCCCCCUGGACAAAGACUGACGCUCAGGUGCGAAAGCGUGGGGAGCAAACAGGAUUAGAUACCCUGGUAGUCCACGCCGUAAACGAUGUCUACUUGGAGGUUGUGCCCUUGAGGCGUGGCUUCCGGAGCUAACGCGUUAAGUAGACCGCCUGGGGAGUACGGCCGCAAGGUUAAAACUCAAAUGAAUUGACGGGGGCCCGCACAAGCGGUGGAGCAUGUGGUUUAAUUCGAUGCAACGCGAAGAACCUUACCUGGUCUUGACAUCCACGGAAGUUUUCAGAGAUGAGAAUGUGCCUUCGGGAACCGUGAGACAGGUGCUGCAUGGCUGUCGUCAGCUCGUGUUGUGAAAUGUUGGGUUAAGUCCCGCAACGAGCGCAACCCUUAUCCUUUGUUGCCAGCGGUCCGGCCGGGAACUCAAAGGAGACUGCCAGUGAUAAACUGGAGGAAGGUGGGGAUGACGUCAAGUCAUCAUGGCCCUUACGACCAGGGCUACACACGUGCUACAAUGGCGCAUACAAAGAGAAGCGACCUCGCGAGAGCAAGCGGACCUCAUAAAGUGCGUCGUAGUCCGGAUUGGAGUCUGCAACUCGACUCCAUGAAGUCGGAAUCGCUAGUAAUCGUGGAUCAGAAUGCCACGGUGAAUACGUUCCCGGGCCUUGUACACACCGCCCGUCACACCAUGGGAGUGGGUUGCAAAAGAAGUAGGUAGCUUAACCUUCGGGAGGGCGCUUACCACUUUGUGAUUCAUGACUGGGGUGAAGUCGUAACAAGGUAACCGUAGGGGAACCUGCGGUUGGA
This 1531-nucleotide ribosomal RNA is filed under the name Salmonella enterica subsp. enterica serovar Schwarzengrund. RNAcentral's name for it is "bacterial SSU rRNA". It matches the Rfam family "Bacterial small subunit ribosomal RNA". The record is from RNAcentral. Lineage: Bacteria; Pseudomonadati; Pseudomonadota; Gammaproteobacteria; Enterobacterales; Enterobacteriaceae.